Molecule: ribosomal RNA, 253 nt
Filed under: uncultured bacterium
Lineage: Bacteria
Description: partial 16S ribosomal RNA
Rfam family: Bacterial small subunit ribosomal RNA
Source: RNAcentral
UACAGAGGUCCCAAGCGUUGUUCGGAUUCACUGGGCGUAAAGGGUGCGCAGGUGGUCGGGUAAGUCUGAUGUGAAAUCCCGCAGCUUAACUGCGGAAUGGCAUUGGAUACUAUUCGGCUAGAGGGUUGGAGGGGGGACUGGAAUUCUCGGUGUAGCAGUGAAAUGCGUAGAUAUCAGGAGGAACACCGGUGGUGUAGACGGCUUUCUGGACCGUAACUGACGCUGAGACACGAAAGCGUGGGUAGCAAACAGG